RNAcentral lists this ribosomal RNA (666 nucleotides) under uncultured bacterium. RNAcentral's name for it is "bacterial SSU rRNA". It matches the Rfam family "Bacterial small subunit ribosomal RNA", at positions 91 to 749 of the family's 1533-position model. The record is from RNAcentral.
GAGAGCGGCGGACGGGUGAGUAAUGCCUAGGAAUCUGCCUGGUAGUGGGGGAUAACGUCCGGAAACGGACGCUAAUACCGCAUACGUCCUACGGGAGAAAGCAGGGGACCUUCGGGCCUUGCGCUAUCAGAUGAGCCUAGGUCGGAUUAGCUAGUUGGUGGGGUAAUGGCUCACCAAGGCGACGAUCCGUAACUGGUCUGAGAGGAUGAUCAGUCACACUGGAACUGAGACACGGUCCAGACUCCUACGGGUAGCAGCAGUGGGGAAUAUUGGACAAUGGGCGAAAGCCUGAUCCAGCCAUGCCGCGUGUGUGAAGAAGGUCUUCGGAUUGUAAAGCACUUUAAGUUGGGAGGAAGGGCAGUAAAUUAAUACUUUGCUGUUUUGACGUUACCGACAGAAUAAGCACCGGCUAACUCUGUGCCAGCAGCCGCGGUAAUACAGAGGGUGCAAGCGUUAAUCGGAAUUACUGGGCGUAAAGCGCGCGUAGGUGGUUCGUUAAAGUUGGAUGUGAAAAUCCCCGGGCUCAACCUGGGAAACUGCAUUCAAAACUGACGAGCUAGAGUAUGGUAGAGGGUGGUGGAAUUUCCUGUUGUAGCGGUGAAAUGCGUAGAUAUAGGAAGGAACACCAGUGGCGAAGGCGACCACCUGGACUGAUACUGACACUGA